UAACCUGCCCUUAACUCUGGGAUAAGCCUGGGAAACUGGGUCUAAUACCGGAUAGGAGCGUCCACCGCAUGGUGGGUGUUGGAAAGAUUUAUCGGUUUUGGAUGGACUCGCGGCCUAUCAGCUUGUUGGUGAGGUAAUGGCUCACCAAGGCGACGACGGGUAGCCGGCCUGAGAGGGUGACCGGCCACACUGGGACUGAGACACGGCCCAGACUCCUACGGGAGGCAGCAGUGGGGAAUAUUGCACAAUGGGCGCAAGCCUGAUGCAGCGACGCCGCGUGAGGGAUGACGGCCUUCGGGUUGUAAACCUCUUUCAGUAGGGAAGAAGCGAAAGUGACGGUACCUGCAGAAGAAGCACCGGCUAACUACGUGCCAGCAGCCGCGGUAAUACGUAGGGUGCGAGCGUUAUCCGGAAUUAUUGGGCGUAAAGAGCUCGUAGGCGGUUUGUCGCGUCUGUCGUGAAAGUCCGGGGCUUAACCCCGGAUCUGCGGUGGGUACGGGCAGACUAGAGUGCAGUAGGGGAGACUGGAAUUCCUGGUGUAGCGGUGGAAUGCGCAGAUAUCAGGAGGAACACCGAUGGCGAAGGCAGGUCUCUGGGCUGUAACUGACGCUGAGGAGCGAAAGCAUGGGGAGCGAACAGGAUUAGAUACCCUGGUAGUCCAUGCCGUAAACGUUGGGCACUAGGUGUGGGGACCAUUCCACGGUUUCCGCGCCGCAGCUAACGCAUUAAGUGCCCCGCCUGGGGAGUACGGCCGCAAGGCUAAAACUCAAAGGAAUUGACGGGGGCCCGCACAAGCGGCGGAGCAUGCGGAUUAAUUCGAUGCAACGCGAAGAACCUUACCAAGGCUUGACAUGUUCUCGAUCGCCGUAGAGAUACGGUUUCCCCUUUGGGGCGGGUUCACAGGUGGUGCAUGGUUGUCGUCAGCUCGUGUCGUGAGAUGUUGGGUUAAGUCCCGCAACGAGCGCAACCCUCGUUCCAUGUUGCCAGCACGUAAUGGUGGGGACUCAUGGGAGACUGCCGGGGUCAACUCGGAGGAAGGUGAGGACGACGUCAAAUCAUCAUGCCCCUUAUGUCUUGGGCUUCACGCAUGCUACAAUGGCCGGUACAAUGGGUUGCGAUACUGUGAGGUGGAGCUAAUCCCAAAAAGCCGGUCUCAGUUCGGAUUGGGGUCUGCAACUCGACCCCAUGAAGUCGGA
Molecule: ribosomal RNA, 1196 nt
Filed under: Micrococcus sp.
Lineage: Bacteria; Bacillati; Actinomycetota; Actinomycetes; Micrococcales; Micrococcaceae
Description: bacterial SSU rRNA
Rfam family: Bacterial small subunit ribosomal RNA
Source: RNAcentral